Molecule: non-coding RNA, 26 nt
Filed under: Mus musculus (house mouse)
Lineage: Eukaryota; Metazoa; Chordata; Mammalia; Rodentia; Muridae
Source: RNAcentral
CAGCUUCUCUACUACAACUAUCUUCU